Molecule: transfer RNA, 87 nt
Filed under: archaeon
Lineage: Archaea
Also listed under: 1 other name
Description: tRNA-Ser
Rfam family: tRNA
About the family: Transfer RNA (tRNA) molecules are approximately 80 nucleotides in length. Their secondary structure includes four short double-helical elements and three loops (D, anti-codon, and T loops).
Source: RNAcentral
GCCGGAGUCGCAUAGCCAGGUAGUGCGACGGUCUCGAAAACCGUUGUCUUCACGGACUCGCAGGUUCGAAUCCUGCUUCCGGCGCCA